Molecule: ribosomal RNA, 497 nt
Filed under: uncultured bacterium
Lineage: Bacteria
Description: partial 16S ribosomal RNA
Rfam family: Bacterial small subunit ribosomal RNA
Source: RNAcentral
GACGAACGCUGGCGGCGUGCCUAAUACAUGCAAGUUGAGCGCUGAAGGUUGGUACUUGUACCAACUGGAUGAGCAGCGCACGGGUGUGUAACGCGUGGGGAAUCUGCCUUUGAGCGGGGGACAACAUUUGGAAACGAAUGCUAAUACCGCAUAAAAACUUUAAACACAAGGUUUAAGUUUGAAAGAUGCAAUUGCAUCACUCAAAGAUGAUCCCUCGUUGUAUUAGCUAGUUGGUGAGGUAAAAGCUCACCAAGGCGAGGCAACAUAGCCGAACUGAGAGGGUGAUCGGCCACAUUGGGACUGAGACACGGCCCAAACUGCUACGGGAGGCAGCAGUAGGGCAUCUUCGGCAAGGGACGAAAGUCUGACCGAGCAACGCCGCGGGAGUGAAGAAGGGUGUCGGAUCGUAAAACUCGGUUGGUAGAGAAGAACGUGGGUGAGAGUGGAAAGCUCAUCAAGUGACGGUAACUACUCAGAAAGGGACGGCUAACUACGUG